GAUGAAGAACGCAGCGAAAUGCGAUAAGUAAUGUGAAUUGCAGAAUUCAGUGAAUCAUCGAAUCUUUGAACGCACAUUGCGCCCGCGAGUAUUCUCGCGGGCAUGCCUGUCCGAGCGUCAUUUCAACCCUCAGGGCCCGCCUGCUUCGGCAGGCGCGGCGCUGGUGUUGGGGAUCGGCCUAACCGCCGGCCCCCAAAUACAGUGGCGGUCUCGCUGCAGCCUCCCCUGCGUAGUAGCAACACUCGCAUGCGGAGCGCGGCGCGGCCACGCCGUAAAACCCCCGACUUUCUGAACGUUGACCUCGGAUCAGGUAGGAAUACCCGCUGAACUUAAGCAUAUCAAUAAGCGGAGGA
Molecule: unclassified non-coding RNA, 353 nt
Filed under: soil metagenome
Description: partial contains 5.8S ribosomal RNA, internal transcribed spacer 2, and large subunit ribosomal RNA
Rfam family: 5.8S ribosomal RNA (bases 1-120)
Source: RNAcentral